AAGUCGAGCGGACAGAAGGGAGCUUGCUCCCGGAUGUUAGCGGCGGACGGGUGAGUAACACGUGGGUAACCUGCCUGUAAGACUGGGAUAACUCCGGGAAACCGGAGCUAAUACCGGAUAGUUCCUUGAACCGCAUGGUUCAAGGAUGAAAGACGGUUUCGGCUGUCACUUACAGAUGGACCCGCGGCGCAUUAGCUAGUUGGUGGGGUAAUGGCUCACCAAGGCGACGAUGCGUAGCCGACCUGAGAGGGUGAUCGGCCACACUGGGACUGAGACACGGCCCAGACUCCUACGGGAGGCAGCAGUAGGGAAUCUUCCGCAAUGGACGAAAGUCUGACGGAGCAACGCCGCGUGAGUGAUGAAGGUUUUCGGAUCGUAAAGCUCUGUUGUUAGGGAAGAACAAGUGCGAGAGUAACUGCUCGCACCUUGACGGUACCUAACCAGAAAGCCACGGCUAACUACGUGCCAGCAGCCGCGGUAAUACGUAGGUGGCAAGCGUUGUCCGGAAUUAUUGGGCGUAAAGGGCUCGCAGGCGGUUUCUUAAGUCUGAUGUGAAAGCCCCCGGCUCAACCGGGGAGGGUCAUUGGAAACUGGGAAACUUGAGUGCAGAAGAGGAGAGUGGAAUUCCACGUGUAGCGGUGAAAUGCGUAGAGAUGUGGAGGAACACCAGUGGCGAAGGCGACUCUCUGGUCUGUAACUGACGCUGAGGAGCGAAAGCGUGGGGAGCGAACAGGAUUAGAUACCCUGGUAGUCCACGCCGUAAACGAUGAGUGCUAAGUGUUAGGGGGUUUCCGCCCCUUAGUGCUGCAGCUAACGCAUUAAGCACUCCGCCUGGGGAGUACGGUCGCAAGACUGAAACUCAAAGGAAUUGACGGGGGCCCGCACAAGCGGUGGAGCAUGUGGUUUAAUUCGAAGCAACGCGAAGAACCUUACCAGGUCUUGACAUCCUCUGACAACCCUAGAGAUAGGGCUUUCCCUUCGGGGACAGAGUGACAGGUGGUGCAUGGUUGUCGUCAGCUCGUGUCGUGAGAUGUUGGGUUAAGUCCCGCAACGAGCGCAACCCUUGAUCUUAGUUGCCAGCAUUCAGUUGGGCACUCUAAGGUGACUGCCGGUGACAAACCGGAAGAAAGGUGGGGAUGACGUCAAAUCAUCAUGCCCCUUAUGACCUGGGCUACACCGUGCUACAAUGGAC
Molecule: ribosomal RNA, 1192 nt
Filed under: Bacillus safensis
Lineage: Bacteria; Bacillati; Bacillota; Bacilli; Caryophanales; Bacillaceae
Description: bacterial SSU rRNA
Rfam family: Bacterial small subunit ribosomal RNA
Source: RNAcentral